RNAcentral lists this long non-coding RNA (1715 nucleotides) under Theobroma cacao (cacao). RNAcentral describes it as "long non-coding RNA (TCAC_LNC003202)". The record is from RNAcentral. Lineage: Eukaryota; Viridiplantae; Streptophyta; Magnoliopsida; Malvales; Malvaceae.
UUUCACGUUGCUUCCCAACCUCCAUGAAAGCUUGAUAAGAAAGCUCCACAACCUUCCUCAAAUAGCUCCAAAUUUCAUGCUUUUGGUGCACCCUUUCCAUAAACCCUUGUGCUCUUCCAUUCUCUCACUUUAAAACCCUUGAAAAAUCUUGUUUCCAUACUCUCUCUCACUAGUUAGGUGUUUUAGAGAGAGAAAGAGAGAGAGGAAGCUUCAAAAAUAGCUUGAAAGUUUUGGAAAGAAUUUCAAAUACAAGCUACCAAGGUUCCAACGAAGCCCCAUCACCCCAUUUGGACAAUUAGAGAAGUAGAGUCGACAAAAGGUUCAACGAAAUACCAGUGAGUGGACUUGCAUUUCAAAAUUGUUUUGGGAAUGUAAACUUAUUUGCACAAUAUACUUGAAUGAUUUUAUCCAACUUUCCUUAAAAACAAGUGCCUUGGGAACAAGCCUUUGAUAAAUUUAUUUAUGUUGUGACAUACAGUUGUUAUGGAUUCAUGCACUAUUACACUAUGUUGGUAUAUAUAUAUAUAUAUAUAUAUGUUGUGCAUGAUGGUUGAUAUUGUGUGAUGAUUAUAACCGCGUGUGUGCACGAUGUGGGGGAAUGCACAUGCCGGUAAUGGUGGUGGUGAGAGAGAUGGAUGAUGAUAGUGCCUAUGUGCACGAUGCAGGGGGAUGUACACGAUGCCACUGAUUGUGUAUGAUGUGGGGGGAUGCACACGAUGACUCUGGCUAUAUGCACAAUGUGGGAGGAUGCACAUGAGCUGGAUAUGAUGAUAGUGGUAUUGAUAUUUAUCCAUGUUUGUAUAUGUAUAUAUGUCUAGAGAAUGAAAACUCAUGUAUAUGGUUUAUGGUUGAAAUGCAUAUGAAUUUGGCAUGUUGAACUUUGGAAAUCUUUAUGUGUUUUACGUUGAUUUUGUCAUUUCAGCAAAAUGGCUUUUUCUUGAAAUGAAGGAAACCUUUUUCUCACUGUUCUGUUUCUCGCUGCAACGAGAAACUCUCUGGUUGGAGGGGUAAGGCUGGCCAAAAAUCUCGCUGCAGCGAGAAUGUUACUAUCGCUUCUCGCUGUAGCGAGAAACUUUUUAUUUUGUGACCAAAAAUUUUUGUUGCUACCUUAUUUUCCAUUUCUUUGAUACCAUAGUUGAGCAUGGACUUCCAACAUUAAGGAAUAAAUGAAUUAAGUUUAAAAUGAUGAGGUUUGGUGAGAAACCCUCGGCCAGUUAAGAAAUCCUCAGCUAGUUAAUAAUUUAAGUCAAGUGUCGCUGCAGCGGAAAGGCAUUCUCGCUGCAGCUACGACCCGUCAUUUAUUUGACCUAAUUCUCAUGAAUGCUAUUAAAGUUUUCACUCUCCAAAUCCUUUGUUGAGCAUGGACCUUAUUCAUAAAGUGAUUUACUCAUGUGGGGUUUACAUGAAGGGUUUUAAUAAGAACUAAAACAAAUUGCAUUGUUUUGAAAAAUAAAUGCAUCAUGAUUUCGUUAAACAUUCCUUAAUGUUUGCUUGUUCCUUUCUUGUUCACUCAUUGGGUUUAUACUCGCCGUUUUCAACUUCAUGUUUUCAGAUCAAGAGGCAACCAAUAACUAGGUCAAGGUGCCCUUAUAGAUUUGUUUCCUUGGUAGGUAUCUCGACAUUCAGUAGCCGUACAUCACUCGGGUUUCUCCGUUGAAAAUCGAGUCUUCUUUUUGAGAUGUAUAGACAACCCUGAUGUAAAUUAUUAAGAUACA